Long non-coding RNA from Saccostrea cuccullata (small rock oyster), 232 nucleotides. RefSeq lists it as uncharacterized. NCBI's taxonomy places the organism in Eukaryota, Metazoa, Mollusca, Bivalvia, Ostreida, Ostreidae. The transcript has 3 exons. The record is from RefSeq and is a predicted model, not a curated record.
AAAGGGACGUUUAAAGAUACCGCAAAUGAAAAAGAGUAUUACAAUGAUUUCCCAGCUGUUGAUAUAGGAGAAAAACAAAGUGGACGAGAUGUGGAUAUUUCCCCUUAUGCAGAACUAAGAGAACUCGACCACCAAAACACUUAUGAUGAACUUUAGUAAUAUGCAAAAGAAGACGACAAAAUUUAGUUGGAAGCAUUGCUAUUGUUUACAUUUUAAUGUAGAACUCACUUUC